This is a long non-coding RNA of Helianthus annuus (common sunflower), 767 nucleotides long. RefSeq lists it as uncharacterized. The transcript has 3 exons. The record is from RefSeq and is a predicted model, not a curated record. Lineage: Eukaryota; Viridiplantae; Streptophyta; Magnoliopsida; Asterales; Asteraceae.
GGCUGUAGUGAUUUCAGUUUGUAUAUUGCAUUAUAUCGUUACGUGCACUUGAAGGUACCGCCUUUGGGUCCUUUUUGGCGCACACCAUUUAGGGGUUUCAAUUCUUUCAAGAAUAGUUACCUCCUUGUGGACUCUCUCAUGAUGGGUAAAUGUUUUGUACUUUUAUUUGGUGGUACAUUUUUGUUCAUGUUAUAUGUAAUGGGUUGUUGUCAAUUGUUGUUGAUUUGUGUUGAUUCUUGUGAUUUGAGGGUUAUUAUGAUGAAUUGGAUCUGGGUUGUUCAAGAUUUGUUGUGAAUGUUGAUAGCUUUUUUAGAUCUAGGUUAUUAAGAGGUUGAUUUUAAAGAUUUGCUUGAUUUUGUUGAGUGUGAUAGUUUGAUGGGUUUUUUGAUUUAUAAUGUGUAGGUAGAGGUGCACAAAAUAACCGGUUAUUAACUGAAACUGUAGCGGGUUAAUAGUUGAUCGAGGAGUAAUCGAUUAGUGGAUGUUUUUAACCGUAGGUUGAAGUGAAUAACCAAACCAGUUAAAGCAAUAUCCAGCUAGCAAAAAUGUGAAAACAAACGGCGGAUGAAAUUGAGCUUGAUCUUGCGGUUCUUGAUAACAAGACGAUGUGGAAGGUGCACAGUUUCAUCGGUAGCGCAGCCAAAAAGGAGGCUGCAGCGACUUGUAACAUGGUUUUUUCUGUACAGACUGAAAAUGUGGAAGAACAGUUUAGGUAAAAGGAUGCUGGAGAAUAAUAUGUGGAUAUUGUUUGAAGGCGGAAAGGCACU